RNAcentral lists this ribosomal RNA (459 nucleotides) under uncultured bacterium. RNAcentral describes it as "partial 16S ribosomal RNA". It matches the Rfam family "Bacterial small subunit ribosomal RNA", at positions 338 to 794 of the family's 1533-position model. The record is from RNAcentral.
CCUACGGGAGGCAGCAGUGAGGAAUAUUGGUCAAUGGACGAGAGUCUGAACCAGCCAAGUAGCGUGAAGGAUGACUGCCCUAUGGGUUGUAAACUUCUUUUAUAUGGGAAUAAAACGUUCCACGUGUGGGAUUUUGUAUGUACCAUAUGAAUAAGGAUCGGCUAACUCCGUGCCAGCAGCCGCGGUAAUACGGAGGAUCCGAGCGUUAUCCGGAUUUAUUGGGUUUAAAGGGAGCGUAGGUGGAUUGUUAAGUCAGUUGUGAAAGUUUGCGGCUCAACCGUAAAAUUGCAGUUGAAACUGGCAGUCUUGAGUACAGUAGAGGUGGGCGGAAUUCGUGGUGUAGCGGUGAAAUGCUUAGAUAUCACGAAGAACUCCGAUUGCGAAGGCAGUUCACUGGACUGCAACUGACACUGAGGCUCGAAAGUGUGGGUAUCAAACAGGAUUAGAUACCCGAGUAGC